Molecule: ribosomal RNA, 253 nt
Filed under: uncultured bacterium
Lineage: Bacteria
Description: partial 16S ribosomal RNA
Rfam family: Bacterial small subunit ribosomal RNA
Source: RNAcentral
UACGAAGGGGGCUAGCGUUGUUCGGAAUUACUGGGCGUAAAGGGCGCGUAGGCGGUGUGUCCAGUCAGGCGUGAAAGCCCCGGGCUCAACCUGGGAACCGCGCUUGAGACUGGCACGCUCGAGUUCGGGAGAGGAUGGUGGAAUUCCCAGUGUAGAGGUGAAAUUCGUAGAUAUUGGGAAGAACACCGAUGGCGAAGGCAGGCAUCUGGACCGACACUGACGCUGAGGCGCGAAAGCGUGGGGAGCAAACAGG